RNAcentral lists this ribosomal RNA (514 nucleotides) under Solemya pusilla. RNAcentral's name for it is "partial 16S ribosomal RNA". It matches the Rfam family "Bacterial large subunit ribosomal RNA", at positions 1816 to 2597 of the family's 2925-position model. The record is from RNAcentral. Lineage: Eukaryota; Metazoa; Mollusca; Bivalvia; Solemyida; Solemyidae.
CGCUUUUUGUUAGAUUUAAAUGGAAAGUAGAGCCUGCCCAGUGAAGUGAAAUUUAAACGGCCGCAGUACUCUGACUGUGCGAAGGUAGCAUAAUCAUUUGCUCUUUAAUUGGGAGCUGGAAUGAAUGGUUUGACGAGGGCUUAUCUGUCUUAAUACUAAUAUAUUAGAAAUUGACUUUUAAGUGAAGAGGCUUAAAUUUAAUUAUAGGACAAGAAGACCCUAUUGAGCUUUAAUAUGUUUUUGAAUUAUAAAUAUAUAAAUUAGAAUUUAAAUCAAAAAUGUGUUUGGAUUGGGGCGAUCAAGGAAAAAAUUUAACUUCCUUUAUUGAUAUAUGUAUGUAUAUUUAUGAUCCAGGAUUAAUGCUGAUUAAAAGAAAAAGUUACCAUAGGGAUAACAGCGUAAUCCUUCUUGAGAGUUCUUAUCGAAAGAGGGGGUUGCGACCUCGAUGUUGGACUAAGGUGUCCUAAGGGUGUAGCAGCUUUUGAGGGUUGGUCUGUUCGACCAUUAAAACCUU